UCCCAUUCAGAUCACCGUUUUCUGGGCAC
Molecule: non-coding RNA, 29 nt
Filed under: Homo sapiens (human)
Lineage: Eukaryota; Metazoa; Chordata; Mammalia; Primates; Hominidae
Source: RNAcentral